This 432-nucleotide ribosomal RNA is filed under the name uncultured bacterium. RNAcentral describes it as "partial 16S ribosomal RNA". It matches the Rfam family "Bacterial small subunit ribosomal RNA", at positions 29 to 506 of the family's 1533-position model. The record is from RNAcentral.
AACGAACGCUGGCGGCAUGCCUAACACAUGCAAGUCGAACGAGACCUUCGGGUCUAGUGGCGCACGGGUGCGUAACGCGUGGGAACCUGCCCUUAGGUUCGGAAUAACUCCCCGAAAGGGGUGCUAAUACCGGAUAAUGUCUUCGGACCAAAGAUUUAUCGCCUUUGGAUGGGCCCGCGUUGGAUUAGCUAGUUGGUAGGGUAAAAGCCUACCAAGGCGACGAUCCAUAGCUGGUCUGAGAGGAUGAUCAGCCACACUGGGACUGAGACACGGCCCAGACUCCUACGGGAGGCAGCAGUGGGGAAUAUAGGACAAUGGGCGAAAGCCUGAGCCAGCAAGGCCGCGUGAGUGAUGAAGGCCUUAGGGUUGUAAAGCUCUUUUACCCGGGAUGAUAAUGACAGUACCGGGAGAAUAAGCUCCGGCUAACUCCGU